RNAcentral lists this ribosomal RNA (253 nucleotides) under uncultured bacterium. RNAcentral's name for it is "partial 16S ribosomal RNA". It matches the Rfam family "Bacterial small subunit ribosomal RNA", at positions 524 to 776 of the family's 1533-position model. The record is from RNAcentral.
UACGGAGGGUGCGAGCGUUGUCCGGAAUCACUGGGCGUAAAGGGCGCGUAGGCGGCUUGAUAAGGUUGCGGUGAAAGCCCGGGGCUCAACCCCGGGUCGGCCGUGGCAACUGUCGAGCUGGAGCACUGUAGAGGCAGGUGGAAUUCCGGGUGUAGCGGUGGAAUGCGUAGAGAUCCGGAAGAACACCGGUGGCGAAGGCGGCCUGCUGGGCAGUGGCUGACGCUGAGGCGCGACAGCGUGGGGAGCAAACAGG